GGGACAUAUACACCAUGGAAUACUAUGCAGCCAUAAAAAGGGGCUAAGGAAUUGGGUUACUUUGUGCCCCGCCUCUGCCCGCAGGGAAGACCAUUCCUGGAUUUACCCUUCGAGGGAGCAGUAGAAGCGGAUCUGGCAUGAAGUGGGGGACACAACUCCCCUUAUGCUCCCAGCACAUCUCCUGGGCUGAGGCCAUCUCAGAUUGGAAGACCAGCUUUCCAAAGCAAGUCUCCUCCACAUCAUGAAGGAGAAAAAGGUGAAACAUUUGAUGUCCUGAUGGUAAUAGGAUCACAGGCUCUAAAACAUGAGGGAGGUGGGGCUGGACAAAGUCUUUAGGAGACUGCUGAAUUGUUGACUUUAUUCCAAGUCAGGAUCCCGAGUAAUCACUGAGCCUCAGUAUAAUUAUAUGCACAUGAGAAGCUAUUUA
Long non-coding RNA from Homo sapiens (human), 427 nucleotides. RefSeq lists it as uncharacterized. The transcript is spliced from 2 exons. The record is from RefSeq and is a predicted model, not a curated record. NCBI's taxonomy places the organism in Eukaryota, Metazoa, Chordata, Mammalia, Primates, Hominidae.